UAGUACCGUGAGGGAAAGGUGAAAAGAACCCCGGGAGGGGAAUGAAAGAGAACCUGAAACCGUAUGUCUACAAGCAGUCGAAGACCUUUAUAUGGUCGACGGCGUGCCUAUUGAAGAAUGAACCGGCGAGUUACUUCAGCUAGCGAGGUUAAGCGGAAAACGUGGAGCCGAAGCGAAAGCGAGUCUGAACAGGGCGUAUAGUUAGUUGGAGUAGACCCGAAACCACAGUGAUCUACCCAUGUCCAGGUUGAAGCACAGGUAAAAAUGUGUGGAGGACCGAACCAGUGAGCGUUGAAAAGCUUUUGGAUGAGAUGUGGGUAGGGGUGAAAUGCCAAUCGAACGUGGAGAUAGCUGGUUCUCCCCGAAAUAGCUUUAGGGCUAGCCUCAUGGCGAGAGUACAGGCGGUAGAGCACUGAACGGGGUAGGGGCCUAUCCGGCUACUGAACCUAAUCAAACUGCGAAUGGCUGUACUUAUCCAUGGGAGUCAGACUGUGAGUAAUAAGGCCCAUAGUCAAGAGGGAAACAGCCCAGACCAACAGCUAAGGUCCCCAAUGCCGUACUAAGUGGCGAAGGAUGUGGAAUUUCGAAAACAACCAGGAUGUUGGCUCAGAAGCAGCCACCAUUAAAAGAGUGCGUAAUAGCUCACUGGUCGAGAGACUCUGCGCCGAAGAUGUCCGGGGCUAAAGUACGGAACCGAAGCUUUGGCAAUUGACAUUAGUCAAUUGGGUAGGGGAGCGUUCCUGCAUGGGAGAAGCCUGACCGGAAGGACAGGUGGACAGGCAGGAAGAGAGAAUGCCGGUAUGAGUAGCGAAAAGAAGGGUGAGAAUCCCUUCCACCGAAAGCCUAAGGGUUCCUGGGCAACGAUCGUCGUCCCAGGGUAAGUCGGGACCUAAUCCGAGGCGGAGACGCGUAGGAGAUGGACAACAGGUUGAAAUUCCUGUACUGGCUGAGGCCGUUUGAGCGAAGGAGUGACACAGGAAGGAAGGCGCGCGUGCGAUUGGAAGAGCACGUCCAAGCAGGUAGGUCGGGAGACAGGCAAAUCCGUUUCCCGUGAGGCCGAGAUGCGAUGGGGAGCUUCUGGAGACAGAAGCGAAGGGGCUGGCACUAAACUGUCGAGAAAAGCUUCUAGUGAGGACUCAGGCACCCGUACCGCAAACCGACACAGGUAGGCAGGAUGAGAAUUCUAAGGUGCGCGGGAAAACCCUCGUUAAGGAACUCGGCAAAAUAUAUCCGUAACUUCGGGAAAAGGAUAACCCAGCGUACGUGAAGUGCAGAAGCGCACGGAGCGGAGAUGGGUGGCAGAAGAGAGGCCCAAGCGACUGUUUACCACAAACACAGGCGUCUGCUAAAGCGAAAGCUGAUGUAUAGAUGCUGACACCUGCCCGGUGCUGGAAGGUUAAGAGGAAGUGUUAGCGCAAGCGAAGCAGUGAAUUGAAGCCCCAGUAAACGGCGGCCGUAACUAUAACGGUCCUAAGGUAGCGAAAUUCCUUGUCGGGUAAGUUCCGACCCGCACGAAAGGUGUAACGAUUUGGGCACUGUCUCAACGAGGGACCCGGUGAAAUUGAAGUACCUGUGAAGAUGCAGGUUACCCGCGACUGGACAGAAAGACCCCAUGGAGCUUUACUGUAACCUGAGAUUGGAUUCCGGUAAGAGAUGUACAGGAUAGUUGGGAGGCUUAGAUGCAAGUACGCCAGUAUUUGCGGAGCCAUUGGUGGGAUACCAACCUUGUUUUAUUGGAAUUCUAACGAGAAGCGUAACGAGCUUGCGGACAGUCUCAGGCGGGCAGUUUGACUGGGGCGGUCGCCUCCGAAAGAGUAACGG
Molecule: ribosomal RNA, 1821 nt
Filed under: human gut metagenome
Description: bacterial LSU rRNA
Rfam family: Bacterial large subunit ribosomal RNA
Source: RNAcentral